AUGAACGCUGGCGGCGUGCCUAACACAUGCAAGUCGAGCGGUAACAGGUGUAGCAAUACAUGCUGACGAGCGGCGAACGGGUGAGUAAUGCUUCGGAAUCUGCCCAAUGGUGGGGAAUAACCAGCCGAAAGGUUGGCUAAUACCGCAUAAGUCCUACGGGGGAAAGCAGGGGAUCGCAAGACCUUGCGCCGAUGGAUGAGCCGAAGUCGGAUUAGCUAGUUGGUAGGGUAACGGCCUACCAAGGCGACGAUCCGUAGCUGGUCUGAGAGGACGACCAGCCACACUGGGACUGAGACACGGCCCAGACUCCUACGGGAGGCAGCAGUGGGGAAUAUUGGACAAUGGGGGAAACCCUGAUCCAGCGACGCCGCGUGUGUGAAGAAGGCCUGCGGGUUGUAAAGCACUUUUAGUGGGGAUGAAAAGCUCAGGGCUAACACCUCUGGGUCUUGACCUAACCCACAGAAAAAGCACCGGCUAACUCUGUGCCAGCAGCCGCGGUAAUA
Molecule: ribosomal RNA, 503 nt
Filed under: uncultured bacterium
Lineage: Bacteria
Description: bacterial SSU rRNA
Rfam family: Bacterial small subunit ribosomal RNA
Source: RNAcentral